RNAcentral lists this long non-coding RNA (735 nucleotides) under Homo sapiens (human). RNAcentral describes it as "non-protein coding lnc-NBPF1-8:1". Lineage: Eukaryota; Metazoa; Chordata; Mammalia; Primates; Hominidae. The record is from RNAcentral.
UCAACUACUUUUCUGUUUGUUUCCCAACCUCGAUUAAACUCACUAAAUUUAGGGACAAAAAGAAAAACCAAAAAACCAUGUUUCCCUCCAGUCUCGAGCCAAGGGUCUUUCACAUGUGAGGCAAACAUGAUAAAGUCUGCCCCACUCAAUUUAAGUAAUAGUUAAUCACACUUCCAGAUUUCAGCAGGUACCGUAGCAAAGGCUGUGUCUCAGGGCACUUGGCUGUUUGAAAAUAUGGGCACAUCAACUCAGGCCAAGCCACCGAGUACAAAACCCUGGAAGACCCGGGGGCAGCCCACUUAGAUUUCACGAUCGCUCCUCUCUCCCUCGUCGGUCUUCUGAUUCUUCCUGAAGGGCAGUUUCAUUUUACCCUUUACAAAACUGAAACGUCUUAUAUGUGCUUUUUGUAAUUUUUCUGUUCAAUAAGGUAUUGCAGUGGUGACCGCAUUGCCUUCAAACCUGAAGUCCGAGUGCUUCCACCCUGGGGAAUAUGCAGACCGCUGGGUCACUGGACGCCAGGCCGCGGUGCUGGCCUAGUUCUGCUUUUGGCUUUCAAUGCAGUCGGCGGAGGCGACUGGUUCAUGAAAUCCCACCCCUCUACUGCCCCAUUCCCAUAUUCUAUCUCCUCCCCAUAUUCUAUCAUCUCCUCCCCUGCCCACUCUGAGAGGAUUCGCCGCCUUUCUGUCGCGUCUGGACCCUUUGGAGUCCCACAUGGACAAGACAAAAUGGGCACUG